RNAcentral lists this ribosomal RNA (368 nucleotides) under uncultured bacterium. RNAcentral's name for it is "bacterial SSU rRNA". It matches the Rfam family "Bacterial small subunit ribosomal RNA", at positions 28 to 388 of the family's 1533-position model. The record is from RNAcentral.
GAUGAACGCUAGCGGCAGGCUUAACACAUGCAAGUCGAGGGGCAGCGCGUUGUAGCAAUACAAUGGCGGCGACCGGCGGAAGGGUGCGUAACGCGUGAGCAACUUAGCCCGUCACAGGGGGAGUAACCGGUGGAAACGCCGACUAACACCCCGUAACACAUGUCGCUGCAUGGCGAUAUGUUGAAAAACUCCGGUGGUGACGGGAUAGGCUCGCGUGCCAUUAGCUAGUCGGCGGGGCAACGGCCCACCGAGGCGACGAUGGCUAGGGGUUCUGAGAGGAAGGCCCCCCACACUGGGACUGAGACACGGCCCAGACUCCUACGGGAGGCAGCAGCGAGGAAUAUUGGACAAUGGAGGCAACUCUGAAU